UACGUAGGGGGCUAGCGUUGUCCGGAAUCAUUGGGCGUAAAGCGCGUGUAGGCGGUUCGGUAAGUCCGCUGUGAAAGUCGGGGGCUCAACCCUCGAAUGCCGGUGGAUACUGUCGGACUAGAGUACGGAAGAGGCGAGUGGAAUUCCUGGUGUAGCGGUGAAAUGCGCAGAUAUCAGGAGGAACACCGAUGGCGAAGGCAGCUCACUGGGACGGUACUGACGCUGAGGCGCGAAAGCCAGGGGAGCAAACGGG
RNAcentral lists this ribosomal RNA (253 nucleotides) under uncultured bacterium. RNAcentral's name for it is "partial 16S ribosomal RNA". It matches the Rfam family "Bacterial small subunit ribosomal RNA", at positions 524 to 776 of the family's 1533-position model. The record is from RNAcentral.